UACGAAGGGGGCUAGCGUCGCUCGGAAUCACUGGGCGUAAAGGGUGCGUAGGCGGGGCUUUAAGUCAGGGGUGAAAUCCUGGAGCUCAACUCCAGAACUGCCUUUGAUACUGAAGAUCUUGAGUUCGGGAGAGGUGAGUGGAACUGCGAGUGUAGAGGUGAAAUUCGUAGAUAUUCGCAAGAACACCAGUGGCGAAGGCGGCUCACUGGCCCGAUACUGACGCUGAGGCACGAAAGCGUGGGGAGCAAACAGG
This 253-nucleotide ribosomal RNA is filed under the name uncultured bacterium. RNAcentral describes it as "partial 16S ribosomal RNA". It matches the Rfam family "Bacterial small subunit ribosomal RNA", at positions 524 to 776 of the family's 1533-position model. The record is from RNAcentral.